CAUCAUGAACAAUGGGGCUGGGUACCGGGGCACCAUGGCCACGACCGUGGGUGGCCUGCCUUGCCAGGCUUGGAGCCACAAGUUCCCGAAUGAUCACAAGUGAGACAAACACCUUCCCUCUGUCCCGGCCUGGGGCCUUCCCCCAACACACACUAUAGUGAUGCUCUGGGCCCUCAGGUACACGCCCACGCUCCGGAAUGGCCUGGAAGAAAACUUCUGCCGUAACCCUGAUGGCGACCCCGGAGGUCCUUGGUGCUACACAACAGACCCUGCCGUGCGCUUCCAGAGCUGCGGCAUCAAAUCCUGCCGGGAGGCCGCGUGUGUCUGGUGCAAUGGCGAGGAUUACCGCGGCGCGGUAGACCGCACGGAGUCAGGGCGCGAGUGCCAGCGCUGGGAUCUUCAGCACCCGCACCAGCACCCCUUCGAGCCGGGCAAGUUCCUCGAUCAAGGUCUGGACGACAACUAUUGCCGGAAUCCUGACGGCUCCGAGCGGCCAUGGUGCUACACUACGGAUCCGCAGAUCGAGCGAGAGUUCUGUGACCUCCCCCGCUGCGGGUCCGAGGCACAACCCCGCCAAGAGGCCACAACUGUCAGCUGCUUCCGCGGGAAGGGUGAGGGCUACCGGGGCACAGCCAAUACCACCACCGCGGGCGUACCUUGCCAGCGUUGGGACGCGCAAAUCCCGCAUCAGCACCGAUUUACGCCAGAAAAAUACGCGUGCAAGUGAGGUGGGGGGGGGGCGGGCGUUGGGACGUGCUGCUGCGGGUGAGACGGGAGGAGGGUAGUCACCGGCUUAGGGCUGGAGGCUGGCGGGCUAGGGCUGAGUGGAGCGCCUGCUUAGAGACCUUCGGGAGAACUUCUGCCGGAACCCCGACGGCUCAGAGGCGCCCUGGUGCUUCACACUGCGGCCCGGCAUGCGCGUGGCCUUUUGCUACCAGAUCCGGCGUUGUGCAGACGACGUGCGGCCCCAGGACUGCUACCACGGCGCAGGGGAGCAGUACCGCGGCACGGUCAGCAAGACCCGCAAGGGUGUCCAGUGCCAGCGCUGGUCCGCUGAGACGCCGCACAAGCCGCAGUUCACGUUUACCUCCGAACCGCAUGCACAACUGGAGGAGAACUUCUGCCGGAACCCAGAUGGGGAUAGCCAUGGGCCCUGGUGCUACACGAUGGACCCAAGAACCCCAUUCGACUACUGUGCCCUGCGACGCUGCGCUGAUGACCAGCCGCCAUCAAUCCUGGACCCCCCAGACCAGGUGCAGUUUGAGAAGUGUGGCAAGAGGGUGGAUCGGCUGGAUCAGCGUCGUUCCAAGCUGCGCGUGGUUGGGGGCCAUCCAGGCAACUCACCCUGGACAGUCAGCUUGCGGAAUCGGCAGGGCCAGCAUUUCUGCGGGGGGUCUCUAGUGAAGGAGCAGUGGAUACUGACUGCCCGGCAGUGCUUCUCCUCCUGCCAUAUGCCUCUCACAGGCUAUGAGGUAUGGUUGGGCACCCUGUUCCAGAAUCCACAGCACGGAGAACCAGGCCUACAGCGGGUCCCAGUAGCCAAGAUGGUGUGUGGGCCCUCAGGCUCCCAGCUUGUCCUGCUCAAGCUGGAGAG
RNAcentral lists this small RNA (1594 nucleotides) under Pongo abelii (Sumatran orangutan). RNAcentral's name for it is "retained intron". Lineage: Eukaryota; Metazoa; Chordata; Mammalia; Primates; Hominidae. The record is from RNAcentral.